This 28714-nucleotide long non-coding RNA is filed under the name Citrus sinensis (sweet orange). RNAcentral describes it as "long non-coding RNA (CSIN_LNC004559)". Lineage: Eukaryota; Viridiplantae; Streptophyta; Magnoliopsida; Sapindales; Rutaceae. The record is from RNAcentral.
CGCUGGGAUUUGCAUAUACUGGACAUACUCCGCAACGUUUUAUCUUCUGACCCUUUUGGACCUUUAUUAUGUUUCGGUAACGCUCAUUGAAGAACUUAAGUGAGACAGUUGUAUGAUGGUAACCAUCAGGAAAGCCAACAUUCAAGCAAGGUUUAAAACAAAGUAUGACAUGAUCUGAAUCAAGGGAGUAUUUAGAAUAGGUAGAAAAACCCAGAUCAACAUAUUUGGUUUCAGAGAGAGUCUUUAUUUCUAAGUCGGAUCGACAGCCGACGUAAACAUUACGAAAACGAUCAGAAUAAAGUUGCUUAAAAUCAAGAACAGCACAAAAAGCAAACCCGAUUAAGUUUCUGCAAAAAGAGUGCGGUGGCAGUUGAAUACGUAUCGAAGAUCCUGAACUUUGAUUGCUGAACCAGUCAGGAAUUUCGCUCCCAGGUAAAACAAUUAGGGAUCCCCAGAGUUCAGAAAGUUUCUGUGAAAUGACAUUUAAAAAAAGAAAAUUGUAAAUUGAAAACCAUGAUUUCAGAUAUAACAAAGAGGGACAGAGUAAACAAGAGAGGGAAUUUGAUACCUCGUUGAUUGCCUUUUCAUAGCCCAGUCUCAGUGAUGCAAUUGCCAUAUGCCGAAUUCUUAGUNNNNNNNNNNNNNNNNNNNNNNNNNNNNNNNNNNNNNNNNNNNNNNNNNNNNNNNNNNNNNNNNNNNNNNNNNNNNNNNNNNNNNNNNNNNNNNNNNNNNNNNNNNNNNNNNNNNNNNNNNNNNNNNNNNNNNNNNNNNNNNNNNNAGUCCCAAAGAAGAUAAACCUAAUAAUAAUGAUCGAGGCAAUGAUGCCAAACCUUUGCAGCUAGAGAAAGAAAGAAUUCCAAGUACGUUUGAAUCUGUAACAGAGGAUGGUAGUUGACUAAUAGCUGAUUUAGCUGCUGAGAUGUAAUACAAAGAUUCUAAAUUGCCAAUGUUAUCCGGCAACUUAUCAAGUUUAGAGCAACCAUUUAUGAACAAUGAUUCAAGCCCCGGUAGAUUUUCAAAUGACGAUGGCAGCUCUGUAAUUGCCGUCCGGUCUAAAUAGAUGCGUUUUAAAUGUUCCAUUUUCUCCAAGAUUUCUGGGAAACGCUCAAGGUUCAAGCAGCCAUGAAGAAAAAGAUCAACCAAAGAUUUCAAUUUACAAAACCUAGUUGAAAUCCUCUUCAGCCGUUCGCAAUCCCUCAAAUCCAACUUUUCAAGAUCAGUUAGGCACUCUAUUGAUGAUGGAACUUCUUCUAUUGCAGACUGGCCUAAGUAUAGCCGUGUAAUUUUCCCAGAAAUCUGUGGAAACUCUAUGAGAUUAACACAAGAGGAGAAAUUAAUAGUUACUGGACAAACAAAAUGAAGAUUGCUUGGAAAAGACCUAAGACUUUUGCAGCCCUCAAAAGACAACGCACUGAGAUACUUGAAAUUCUGGAUAGAUGAGGGAACACAAGCCUUUUCUCCUUCCCAAGGUUGCUCAACUUUACUAAAACGCAAAUUCAGUUCAACAAGGUUCUUUGGCUUGAAAUUUGAUGGCAGUGUCCUUAAUGGAUAUGUGUCCCAAUGAAGAUAUCUCAAUUUUUUAGGAAGAUAAUCUAGGCCAUUUGGAAGCUGCACUUUAGAGUAUGAAAGAUGCUCUUCAAUGCUCAUACUUGGAAGCUUUUCAAUCCCCAAAAUCUUGUUGUUUGCUUUUCCAUCAAGUUUCAAGCAGUUAGUAAACCGAAAAUAAAUUGGUUGUGACAGUCGAUAUUCCGGAUGCCAUUCACAGCAAGGUUUAAAACCAAGUAUGACAUGAUCUGAAUCAAUGAGGUCUUCAAUUGAGUGCGAAUCGAAACUGUUUAAAACCAAGUAUGACAUGAUCUGAAUCAUGGGGGUCUUUAAUAGAGUCCCAAUAGAAACUUGCCUUCAAUUGCAUCGGUCCCCUUAUUAAAAAAAAAAAAAAGAAUGAGUAAGCCUAAAACUCAAAAGAAACAUUCGUAAACUUUAUUAAUUAAGAGCUCCUUAAACAAAAAUAAAUUACCCGAAGCAUGUUACAACCCGUCAAGUCAAGAGAUUCUAGACACAAUGGAAGUUCUGGUAAUGACUGAAGCAUCUUACAACCCUCCAAGUGAAGAGACCUCAGCUGCGACAGUUGCUUGAUACUUGCAGGUAAGCUCUCAAAGCUAUUUCCACUUAGAUUUAAUGUUAAGUUUCUGCAAAAAGAGUGCGGUGGCAGUUGAAUACGUAUUGAAGAUCCUGAACUUUGAUUGCUGAACCAGUCAGGAAUUUUGCUCCCAGGUAAAACAAUUUGGGAUCGCCUGAGUUCAGAAAGUUUCUGUGAAACGACAUUUAAAAAAAGAAAAUUGUCUUUUAGUCCAUAGAAUCCAAAAUGUUAGUUCAAAAUUAGGGAAAAAGUCAACAGGCAAUCUCUUGUGGAAUUUCCAUUACAGCACAGUUCCUCAUAUCUAGAUGUCCCAAAUAAGCUAAACCUAAUAAAAACGAUCGAGGCAAUGAUACCAAACCUUUGCAGCGAGAGAAGUAAAGAACUCCAAGUCUGUUUGAAUAUGCAACAGAGGAUGAUGGUAGUUGACUAAUAGCUGAUCCAACUGCUGAGAUGAUAAACAAACAUUUUAAAUUGCCAAUGUUAUCCGGCAACUUAUCAAGCUUAGAGCAAUCUUCUACGAACAAUUCUUCAAGCCCCGGUAGAUUUUCAAAUGACGAUGGCAGCUCUGUAAUUGCCGUCUUGUUUAAAUUGAUGCGUUCUAAAUGUUCCAUUUUCUCCAAGAUUUCUGGGAAGCGCUCAAGGUUCACGCAGCCAUUAAGAAAAAGAUCAACCAAAGAUCUCAAUUUACAAAACCUAGUUGAAAUCCUCUUCAGCCGUUUGCAAUACUUCAAAUUCAACUUUUUAAGAUCAGUUAGGCACUCUAUUGAUGACGGAACUUCUUCUAUUGCAGACUUGCUCAAGUUUAGCGAUGUUACUUUCCCAGAAAUCAGUGGAAACUCUAUGAGAUUAACACAAUAGGAGAAAUUAAUAGUUACUGGACAAACAAAAUGAAGAUUGCUUGGAAAAGACCUAAGACUUUUGCAGCCCUCAAAAGACAACGCACUGAGAUACUUGAAAUUCUGGAUAGAUGAGGGAACACAAGCCAAGUUUGUAUAAUCCAAAAGAUAUGUUUCAACAUUUGGGGUUUCAAAUGGGCCUGGCAUCUUAAUGAAAUGUUGAGAAUGGCUGAGGUUAAUAGAUUUUAACUUGAAAGCUUCCUGCAAUAACAGAUAUAUAAAGACUAUAUUAAUUAAAAAGCAACAUUGAAUUCAACAAUUAAUUGCACGUAUAUUUAAAGAAAGAAAAAAUUAAUGUUUUAGUUUUAGUACAGAACUUACCUUUUCUCCUUCCCAAAGUUGCUCAACUUUACUAAAACGCAAAUUCAGUUCAACAAGGUUCUUUGCCUUGAAAUUUGAUGGCAGUGUCCUUAAUGGAUAUGUGUCCCAAUGAAGAUAUCUCAAUUUUUUAGGAAGAUAAUCUAGGCCAUUUGGAAGCUGCACUUUAGAGUAUGAAAGAUGCUCUUCAAUGCUCAUACUUGGAAGCUUUUCAAUCCCAUAAAAUUUGAGCAAUCUCAUAUUAGACAUAUUUGUGAAGGCUCCGGGGUCUAAAUUGAUGCGUUUUAUUUUGGACAAAUCCAGAAAUAUGCCUUCAAUUGCAUCGGUCCCCUUAUUAAAAAAAAAAAAAAGAAUGAGUAAGCCUAAAACUCAAAAGAAACAUUCGUAAACUUUAUUAAUUAAGAGCUCCUUAAACAAAAAUAAAUUACGCAAUCUUUGAUUUUAUUUUUUUAAUAUAUUAAAUAUCUAUAUGCGAGAAAAGAAAAUUUUGGGGACCAUUGCAAAAUUAAACUAACUGAAAAAAAAUUCAAAAUUUCUCUAAUUUACAAACCUGUUAUCUUAAUAUCUAGAAGUUGAGAAGACAAGGCCUAUUUGAUUGGUAUAAGAUUUCGAUUUUUUUUUUUUUUAGUCCAUAGAAUCCAAAAUGUUAGUUCAAAAUUAGGGAAAAAGUCAUUUUUUUUCCACUAGCUGUAAUUGUAUCCAAGUCAAAUUGAGAUACGACCCUUUUCAAAAGGAUUUAACCAUCUUACAGCCUCCUUAAGGCACAUUUAAGCUAAAAGGAGUGAUUGGAGGCAGAACUAGGUGGGCCAAUCAGUCCAUUUUAUUAGUGACCGUUGCUUAAAAAAAAUUAUACUCUAAACCACACUUACUUUUUUGAAAAAAAAAUGUAAUUAUAUUGAAAUAAAAUCAGGUGGGCCAAUCCUCAUGGCACUCACUUUGUUCUAACACUCUUCACUAAAUUUGAAGAAAAAUAAAAUUAUACUCUUCACACUCGUAUUCAACAUUCCAAAAAUUUACAAAACCUAGUUGAAAUCCUCUUCAGCCGUUUGCAAUACUUCAAAUUCAACUUUUUAAGAUCAGUUAGGCACUCUAUUGAUGACGGAACUUCUUCUAUUGCAGACUUGCUCAAGUUUAGCGAUGUUACUUUCCCAGAAAUCAGUGGAAACUCUAUGAGAUUAACACAAUAGGAGAAAUUAAUAGUUACUGGACAAACAAAAUGAAGAUUGCUUGGAAAAGACCUAAGACUUUUGCAGCCCUCAAAAGACAACGCACUGAGAUACUUGAAAUUCUGGAUAGAUGAGGGAACACAAGCCAAGUUUGUAUAAUCCAAAAGAUAUGUUUCAACAUUUGGGGUUUCAAAUGGGCCUGGCAUCUUAAUGAAAUGUUGAGAAUGGCUGAGGUUAAUAGAUUUUAACUUGAAAGCUUCCUGCAAUAACAGAUAUAUAAAGACUAUAUUAAUUAAAAAGCAACAUUGAAUUCAACAAUUAAUUGCACGUAUAUUUAAAGAAAGAAAAAAUUAAUGUUUUAGUUUUAGUACAAAACUUACCUUUUCUCCUUCCCAAAGUUGCUCAACUUUACUACAACUCAAAUUCAGUGCAACAAGGUUCUUUGGCUUGAAAUUUGAUGGCAGUGUCCUUAAUGGAUAUGUGUCCCAAUGAAGAUAUCUCAAUUUUUUAGGAAGAUAAUCUAGGCCAUUUGGAAGCUGCACUUUAGAGUAUGAAAGAUGCUCUUCAAUGCUCAUACUUGGAAGCUUUUCAAUCCCAUAAAAUUUGAGCAAUCUCAUAUUAGACAUAUUUGUGAAGGCUCCGGGGUCUAAAUUGAUGCGUUUUAUUUUGGACAAAUCCAGAAAUAUGCCUUCAAUUGCAUCGGUCCCCUUAUUAAAAAAAAAAAAAAGAAUGAGUAAGCCUAAAACUCAAAAGAAACAUUCGUAAACUUUAUUAAUUAAGAGCUCCUUAAACAAAAAUAAAUUACGCAAUCUUUGAUUUUAUUUUUUUAAUAUAUUAAAUAUCUAUAUGCGAGAAAAGAAAAUUUUGGGGACCAUUGCAAAAUUAAACUAACUGAAAAAAAAUUCAAAAUUUCUCUAAUUUACAAACCUGUUAUCUUAAUAUCUAGAAGUUGAGAAGACAAGGCCUAUUUGAUUGGUAUAAGAUUUCGAUUUUUUUUUUUUUUAGUCCAUAGAAUCCAAAAUGUUAGUUCAAAAUUAGGGAAAAAGUCAUUUUUUUUCCACUAGCUGUAAUUGUAUCCAAGUCAAAUUGAGAUACGACCCUUUUCAAAAGGAUUUAACCAUCUUACAGCCUCCUUAAGGCACAUUUAAGCUAAAAGGAGUGAUUGGAGGCAGAACUAGGUGGGCCAAUCAGUCCAUUUUAUUAGUGACCGUUGCUUAAAAAAAAUUAUACUCUAAACCACACUUACUUUUUUGAAAAAAAAAUGUAAUUAUAUUGAAAUAAAAUCAGGUGGGCCAAUCCUCAUGGCACUCACUUUGUUCUAACACUCUUCACUAAAUUUGAAGAAAAAUAAAAUUAUACUCUUCACACUCGUAUUCAACAUUCCAAAAUUGAUAAAAUCGGGAGUUUUCUUUAAAAAUUUAAAAUUUGAAGACUUGUUCUCUUGACACCCUCAGUCAUUAAUUUUACCUAAUUAUGGUUUUUAUGAUUUUGGUUGUUUUGUUCAUAAAAAUGCUUUUACUAAAGGAUGUUCUGGUAAUAAUAAAAUUUAUAAAAAAAACAUGGGUGUGCUGAUAUAGUUGGAAAAAUAUGAGUGCAUAACUCCAAACAAAUAAAAGAUAUAUAUAUAUAUAUAUAAAUGGAGGAUUCUUACCUUAUUAUGCUUUAGUACGCGGCGGAUUUCCUUAGGAUCCCACAACCUGCUGCGUUUGCCUGGCUCUUUCUCAGAUUCUUGGCGAACAAUCUGUCGCCCCAUUUCUUGCAAUAUAUCAUGCAUCUGCAAGGAAUCACCUGAUAUUGAUAUGAGUGACUUAUCAAUAAGGACAUCCAGUCCAUCAGACUCAGAAUCAUCAAGAAUCCUUGCCAGAAAAUCUUUAUCCCCUCCCUCGAAGAAACACGCAAUAUCUAGAAAUAUGCUCUGCACCCUGGGCGUUAAUUCAUAUCUUCACCCUGGGCGUUAAUUCUUUAAAACUAAUCUUUAAUGUAUCAUAAAUACCAUGAAUAUCAGAUUCACAAAUCCGAUUUAAGUCGUCCAAUACAUUUUCCCAAUGGCUUUUCCUCUUGAGAUACAGGGAGGAACCCAACACCUUAAGAACUAAUGGAUUGCCUUUGGCAUACUUUACAAACCUCCGUGAGUGCCGAAUGGAUUGCCAUCGGCAUACCAUACAACCCUCCAUGAGUGCCGGUAGAGAUCUUCAGGACAAUGAUUUUCUUUAACAGCGAAGUUACAAAAAUGCUCGAAAGCCUCAUCAAAUUUCAAUCCAUUGACCCUAUAUAUUUUCUCCACUCCAAAUUUUUCGAGGACUCGUUUAUCCCUGGUGGUUACAACAAUUCUACUUCCUGGACCAUAUUGAUCAAGCCCUCCAAUCAAACCCUCUAAUUGUUCAUCUUUAUUCACAUCAUCGAGUACAAUCAACACCUUCAUGCGUCGGACCCUCCCUUUAGUAAAUUGUGGAAUAUUGGGACCAGCUACUUCAAGUUUUUCACUUAAUAUUGUCGAAAGCAUUUCCUUUUGUAGGUCUUCUAGGCCACCCUCUGUUUCUGAUUUUCUCCUAACAUUUUUUGCAAAGUAUUUACCAUCAAACUCACCAGAGAAUUGAUCGAAAAUAGCUUCAGCAAGGGUAGUUUUGCCUAUACCACCCGUGCCCCAAAUUCCAACAAUUUGGACAGUAUCCCACAAAUCCAUACACAAAAAUGGUUUAAUCUGCUCAAUUCGUGAAUUUAAUCCAACUAGGCCGUUGGAUGAGUCCGUUGAGACUGUUAUUUUUUCCAACUUCUUCAAAACAUCUUCGACAAUUUUGUUUACAAGUUGCGCAUCAAGCCUAAUAUGAAGGUGCAAAGAUGCAAAAACAUUGAGUCAAAUCGGGCCAAGACAGAAACAGAGAAAAGAUGAAUUAGGAAAGAGAGUUACCUGAAUUUCGUGGAUUCAUGGCCGGCUAGAUGGGAUGUUUCUGUCAGUGCAUCCCUCCACUUCUGAACCAUUUCUUGUUUAUCUUUGAACUGUUUUUUGAGCUCAUCAAAACGGUCUCCAAAUGUUCCGUUUUGAUGCCGCACAUCAGAUGGACUUACUCCAUAGAAGAAUGGAAUAAUAAUUUGGCCGUUUGUGUUCUUGCAUUCAAGAAUCUUGACAAGUUCAUUCAGGCACCAUUUUGAAGAAGCGUAGUCCUUCGAGAAAAUGACCACCGAAAUUUUUGAACCUUGGAUUGCGUUCAAAAGGGCGGGUGAAAUCUCAUCUCCUCGCCUAAGCCCUUCAUCAUCAAUAAAUGUUUUGAUUUUCUUUCCUUCAUACAAUUUAUCAUAGAGAUAGCAAGUAAAGCUCUUACGAGUGUCCUCCCCUCUAAAGUUGAGGAAGACUUCAUAAUUGGCACAAGAAGAAGAGGAAGCCAUGAAGGAAAUUUUAGAAAAUUGGUGACAGAAACAGAGAAUUAAUCUUGAGAGUUGAGAGAGGAGAUGUAAGAAUGAACAUGUGCGAAGAUUCUUGCGAGUACAUAGUAAAUAAUUGAAUGGCUGGAGCUUUCUUAGUUUCCUGGAAAUUUCCUGGAGCUUUCGUAUACAUGAUUUGUCAAGUCAUGAAACAUAAUCAUGAUAAUGGGGCAGACCAAAAAGAAAAGCAACAAUUCAAAUAUUUGAUUCAACCAGUAUAAAAAGGAAGGAAAAGCAAAGAAAGGAAAUGUUGAAAGUAGAGUUAGGGAAUUAUAAAAAGCUGAAGGAAAUUGGAAUUUUGUACAAUUUCUCCAGCGAGGAACUUUCACAGUCGUUACCUCAUUGUUACAGUUUAGAUUAAGAUUUGAGGGUGCAAGCAUUUACCUAGAUUUUACCUCCGCACUAAAUUCUUAAGUUUGAAAAAUUAUGAGACCUUUAUAUUGGAAGAUAUUAUAAUCGAAUCAAAACUUAAAAUUUUAAUAUUGUUAAUCUUUAAUCUUUAAAAAAAAUUACCUUGCCGUUACAAUUUGGAUUAAGAUUUGAAUAAGCAUUUACCUAAAUUUUAUCUCCGCCUGUAAAUUCUUAUGUUUUAAAAAUUAUGAGACCUUUAUAUUGGGAGAUAUUAUAAUCGAAUCAAAAUUUUGAAUUUCAAUAUUAUUAUUCUUUUAAAAAAAUUUGAGAUAACAGAGUGAUUGAUAAUAGAGAACUUGUCUAGGCAAACACAUGCAUACACAAAAAUGUGAUGGAUUCAAAAAGAAAUUAAAGUGAUAAUGUACGUGGAUCCUUAAAACAAAAAGCGAAAUCGCUUGGUGGCCCAGUAAAAUUAAGACUGAAUAUUUUUUACACGAGAAGUCAAGCUCAUAAAUGGCAAAAGCCAUUUCAUUUCACUUUUACGCGUCAUUGACUUUUGUAACACGGUGUAUGCAUCGUCAAGUGGGGCAAAAGGGUUUCGAUUACAGUGGGAAAACAUGAACAAGAAUGCAUAAUGAAUAAUUCUUUCGAUAAAGCGAAAAUUAAACACAGAAUAAUCCUAAAAUUUAAACUCUAAUAUCUUAUAAUGUAUUGAUUAAAAAUAAUCCUAAGAGUUCCCAAUUGAAACUUUCAUAAGUAUUUUUAUUGUUUUGGAUAAACAAAUUGCACUAGGAAAACAAUUUGGCAAAUUCAGAGGAUAAUGAAAAAUAGCUAUGCUUCAAUAGGCCAAAGAUUAGAGAACAAAGAAGAAUUAGUUAUUGAUAUACGAAAGAGAAACACUCCAAAAUUUCAAGCAAAAUAUUUUCAUAUACCAUUUCGAUUUUGGAAGGGGUGUGGUUUUGAACUUCAAUAGUUUCCUCUAAAAUCAAAAGGCAGCAAUUAAGCUAGAAAGAGCAAAGAAGACUUUUUGGUACCUUAUUGAAGGUAAACAUUAUGGAACUUCCAAUGUCAUUACCUCACUGUUUAAUUUUUAUUGAGAUUUGUGCAAGCAUUUACCUAAAUCUUACCUCUGCCUGUAAAUUCAUAAGUUUUGAAAAUUAUGAGACCUUAUAUCGGGAGAUAUUAUAAUCGAACUAAAACUUAAAAUUUCUUUUCUUUUCUUUUUUUAUCAUAAAAGGGCUCUUAAGAGAGCUACGACAACACUAAGUGGGAGUGUGCAACCCCAUGAACAUCAUUAAUCAAUAUGUUUAGCGUAUUUGGAGGAAUAGAUUGAAAGCAAUGUAAACCCAAAGGAAACAAAAAGCUGUACGAAGUAAGGAAAUCUGCUGCUACAUUGGUUUCUCGGUAGAUAUGAUCCACUUUGAUCAGCCAAUCACGCCAAAGGAGUUCUUCGAUGGCCUGAAUGAGAAUAAAAUGCUCAUUGACGGGAGGGUUUUAGUUAGAGAUUAACUUCAUAACACACAUGCUGUCUACUUCCACGUAAAACUUAAAAUUUCAAUAUUAUUAUUCUUUAAAAAAAACUGCUGUACGGCCAAGGCGGAUGUACGGUACAGCAGAACAAGAAUGCAUAAUGAAUAAUUCUUUCGAUAAAGCGAAAAUUAAACACAGAAUAAUCCUAAAAUUUAAACUCUAAUAUCUUAUAAUGUAUUGAUUAAAAAUAAUCCUAAGAGUUCCCAAUUGAAACUUUCAUAAGUAUUUUUAUUGUUUUGGAUAAACAAAUUGCACUAGGAAAACAAUUUGGCAAAUUCAGAGGAUAAUGAAAAAUAGCUAUGCUUCAAUAGGCCAAAGAUUAGAGAACAAAGAAGAAUUAGUUAUUGAUAUACGAAAGAGAAACACUCCAAAAUUUCAAGCAAAAUAUUUUCAUAUACCAUUUCGAUUUUGGAAGGGGUGUGGUUUUGAACUUCAAUAGUUUCCUCUAAAAUCAAAAGGCAGCAAUUAAGCUAGAAAGAGCAAAGAAGACUUUUUGGUACCUUAUUGAAGGUAAACAUUAUGGAACUUCCAAUGUCAUUACCUCACUGUUUAAUUUUUAUUGAGAUUUGUGCAAGCAUUUACCUAAAUCUUACCUCUGCCUGUAAAUUCAUAAGUUUUGAAAAUUAUGAGACCUUAUAUCGGGAGAUAUUAUAAUCGAACUAAAACUUAAAAUUUCUUUUCUUUUCUUUUUUUAUCAUAAAAGGGCUCUUAAGAGAGCUACGACAACACUAAGUGGGAGUGUGCAACCCCAUGAACAUCAUUAAUCAAUAUGUUUAGCGUAUUUGGAGGAAUAGAUUGAAAGCAAUGUAAACCCAAAGGAAACAAAAAGCUGUACGAAGUAAGGAAAUCUGCUGCUACAUUGGUUUCUCGGUAGAUAUGAUCCACUUUGAUCAGCCAAUCACGCCAAAGGAGUUCUUCGAUGGCCUGAAUGAGAAUAAAAUGCUCAUUGACGGGAGGGUUUUAGUUAGAGAUUAACUUCAUAACACACAUGCUGUCUAUAAAAAAGCACCAGUCGGGCAUGUCCCCAUUUCUUACCCGGGGCCGAAUCUCCUCGGCCGAAUGGUAUGAGUAGACUCUUGGUGAUGUGUUCUAUGUGGAGCACGUAAAACAGACCAGGAACUAGUACCAACCAGAAACGAGUACUGAUCAGAAACAAGCAUGACCAGAAACGCAUACCGACUAGAGACUUGUGGGUCCCUAAAAGAAAAGGCAAGCACAUAAACGAAAAAGCCAUUACAUUUCUAUUUUACAUGUCAUUCCUAAUUUUUGUAACACGGUGUGGCAGCAUAUGCACAAUCAAAUGAGGCAAAAGGGAUUCGACUAUCGUGGCAGAACAUGGACGAGGAUGCGUGAUGAAUAAUUCCUUCGAUAAAACGAAAAACAAAUGCAGAGAAAAGAAUUUCUUAUAUGACAAGAAAUCAAAGAAAUGUGAAGGAACAUGAUGAAGAAAUUGCAGACUGAUCAAUUAUCCCCAUGGACUCCUAUAAAUUCAACCAAAAUAACAAUUCGAAUCUUACCAAAUUCUUGAGUUAAAUUUAUUCAAUGCUUUUAUUUUUUUAGAGAAAUUUUUUCCAUUGCUACUUUCCCUUUUUUGGGGAAAUUAGAACCGCGGCAUGUAUAGAAAACAUUGAGGUGUAAAGCAACAUUAAUUUCAUGGGAUAUGCGUUAUACGCAUAAUAUAUUUUCAGUCCAAAUUCAACUAUACAAAGAGGCUUGAGAACUUAAAAUUAAGCACAAACUAAACAGACGAAGUAAAUACAUGAUUAUGCAACAUAACAUUAAUUCUCUUAAUUUAUAACUGUUUUUGCCACAUGAAUCUUGCACAGUUAAUCCUAAUUGAAGACUAAAAAAGAGCAAUUGGAAGAAGGUUUUGGAAUAGAAUGGUAUACAAUCGAUAUGAUCCUUUUCCAGUAGUCAACGCUAAUUAACUGCAGUUUCUAGACUCCUAAUUAUACUAGCCAUAGAAAACUGGUGAUCAAAUUAGAUUUUGAAAGGAAAUAAUGUUCAUUUUCCCUUCGCUGCCUUUUUUUUUCUUUUCUUUUUAUAGCAAAGAAUUAUAUCAUGAAAAGAAUCAAUUUAAUCACCUUUUCCAGCAGCACAAUUUUUCUUUUAUAAAAUUUGACCACAGAGACAAAGAAGAAUUAUUCAUACCUUCAUCAGUGAGGAAAUACUUUUCGGUAUGGCUAGGGUGAGAAAAGGCUUUCCACAAACACUUGUACUUUGUAUUCCUGUAAAUUUUCUUUAAAGUCAAUAAAAACCAUAAGUUCUUUACAAUAACCAUCUCUUUGAUAAAAAAGUGCCGUAUUCCUUUAGAAUUUAAAACCGGAAAAAUUGAAUCAGUGUCUUUGAAGAGACAUAAUGGUCGUAAUUCUUUAAAUGAGUUGGCUAUGGAAAUCCUUAUCCAAGAUUCUUUUACGCCAUAUUCUUUCGUAAACCAAAAUUCAUUUUGGAAUACUCUGUUGAGAAUGUCAAAUAAAACGGCAUUGAAGGAAGUUUUCAAAGGUAGAAUCCGCACUUGUCAAAGGGAUGAUCUGCACUUGUCAAAGACACGAUCCGCGUCAAACGAAUCGACACAUUUCCUUUCGUAUUCGCAUAUGUAAUCUUUGAAAAAAUGUAGCUUCUGCAUCUAUAAAUAACGCUCAGUGUAUAAUGUUUUAUUCAAGAAAAAAAACAAGUUUCUUCAUACUCGUCGUCCGAACAUACAGAGACCGUCUCUCAUAACUUCAGCCGAAUACUUGUGAUGAUGAUCAUUUGUGAUUUCAUCAGGCAAAGGGUUGAUGGUGAAAAUUUUUGUAUGUGUGAAGAAUUGAGCUGUGGAUAUAGGGGACUUAAGUGUAAUCGAAAGAGAGUUAUUAGGUCAUAGUGCAGAUUGCAUUCAGUUUAUGGGUCGCUAUGCAGAUAAUUUGUUGACGUGGCGAAAUCUGUUAUGGUCGUUAGAAUGGCUUAUAAUGUAUUGAUUAAGAAUAAUCCUAAGAGUUCCCGAUUGAAAUUUUUAAUGACUAUUUUUAUUGUUUUGGAUAUACAAAUUGCAUUAAGAAAAAAUAUUGUCAAAUUCAGAGGAUAACGGGAAAUAAUUAUGCUUCAAAAGGCCAGAGAUUUGAGAACAAAGAAGCAUUCAUUACUGAUAUACAAAAGAGAAACACUCCAAAAUUGCAAGCAAACUAGUUUCAUAUACUGUUUGGAUUCUGGAAGGGGUGAAGUUUUGAACUUCAGUUGUUCCUCUAAAAUCAAAAGCAGCAAUUAAGCGUUCUCAAUUAGAAAUAGCAAAGAAGACUUAUUCGUACCUUACUGAAGCUAACAUUAUGGCACGGUUGUUCAUAUGUAAUGGCUGCUCUGUUAUGCUAGCUUCUCUGUUUUUGCUUACAGUUUUGAACAUAAAUUCUUGCUCAAAUAACCCAUAAUUAAAUAACACUAAUAUGGCUCCUGAAAUCCCAUAAUAGCUAAUUACGCAACUUUCUCCUCCUCCUCAAUUCUGUCUUCCCCUGCUCGUACACUAAAUUCAAAAUUCAAUGCCCCGAAAAACAACACAAGAAAUCUUUGAGUUAAAUCGUGACCAGUUUAUAUAUCGUAGCAAUUGCUUCCACAUGAUACUUUCUAACAUUUUCUUGAAAGCCAUCAAUCAUAAAAUCUUCAUACUUUUUUCCAUCCUUUGGAUCAAUAAGUACAAAUUUCUCAUCUAAAACAGACAAAAUAAAAUCACUGUCCUUCAUGGAACAUAAUGGCUGCAAUGCCUGAACUGAAUUGGCUAAUGAAACAUAGUCUUCUUUUCUUUCUCGACAUGGAACAUAGUCUUCUUUUCUUUCUGGACAUAUGUCUCUGUACUUUUCUCUCUCUACUGAUCCACACUUUUUCAUACUUCUAACUAUCAUUUUGUUUUUUUUUUUGGUUAAGUUGUGAUUUAUUCAAUUAUUUUGUAUUUUUAAUGACAAUUAUUUAAUAUUUAGUUAGUUUUGAUAUUGAUUAGUGAUUGAAAGUGUAUUUUAGAAGACUUCCGGUCUCUUGGAAAAAGGAAAAAUGGAGACGAAGAAGAAGUGUUCUUGAUUUUUUUGUAGGCAUUAAAGUUAAACGGUUUGAAAUGAUAUUUUGUUUUAAUUUCACUCAUUAAUCUCAUUCAGGAUAAAAUUAUAAAUGCAAAUAAAUGGGGUUUCAUGAGUUUUUUUUAAUAGUGUUAAAAGGUCUACUCACUAAAUAAACAUGUUUUACCCAAACCAAUCCGAUUAAUAAAGUUAUUGGGUUGGGUUGAUCAGGUUAAAAAUCAAAAUUAAAAAUUAAAUAAAUAAAAAAGGCGUUAAAACUAUCUGUUACUUGAAAAUAAAAAGAAUUUCAAAUAGUUAGUUCUAAUGUCCCAUAUCCAAAACAUGCAUAUUAAAUAAAUAUUAUAAGUUAGAGAUAAAAUAUCCAAGAAAUAAUGAAUGAAUGAAAUACCAUAUUUUUGUUGAGAAUUAAGAGUGUGAUUUUAAUUUUGAUAUUGGAGUCUAAAGCAAUAGAUAGUACAAUGAAAUCAUGAAUGCCACAUUUAAAUAAUGUCUUUUAUAAAAUAAUAAAAAGAAGUUAAAAAUUAGGUUAGCCAUUUAGGCGUUUAGGGUUUAGCAGUUAAGGAUGAACAUAUUAUUAUUAUUGUUGUUGUUGUUGUUAUUAUAACAAUUAUUAUUUACAUAUUAAUUAAUCCAACCCAACCCAAUUAUUAACAAACUAGGAAAUAAAACCGCACUUCGUGCGGCUUUAAAAGAAAAUUAAUAUUAUUUUUUUAUUACUUUACAAUUGAUGAAACUAAUAAAAAAUAUGAAUUAUUUUUAAAAUGACGUAAUCUUAUAAAACUAAUGUUAUUUAUGAAAGUUAAUUAUUUUUUUGUUAACAUUAAAAAUAUAUAUUAAUGUAUAUAGUUAAGUGUACACAACUUUUUCAUCAAUAAAAAUUAUGUUCACAUUAAUCAACUCUCCAUUUUUCUUAGUAUUAACAGACUCUCACAUCUUACAAAGUCUGACCCUUAUUAUUCAACUAUCUUUAUCAUAGUUUAACUCAUGAAGAAAAUAGUACUCCAUGAAGCAUACAAUACUAAAAAUUUAAAUAAGUCAAAAAAUAAAAACACAAAAACAUUUCUAAAGAGAAUGUUGGUUAAAUAAUAAAAAAAACUCAAACAUAACAAAUCUUAAAUGCUUAAUAUUUAUAGAGCUUGAAGAAGCCAAAAGAUACUAAAUAAAAGGUUGCAUAAUUAAAUAUAGGAUUAUAACAUUAAAAUUAGGUCAUAAGGCAUUGGUGAGGGAAGAGGAAGGAACAUUCCUUCUUAUAUUAAUUAGUUGAUGUAUUUUAAACCACUAAAGUUUAUUUGUUGGCUUAAUAAAAUAAAUGAAUGUUUCAAAACUUAUAAUUAAUUUAUUAUUAAUGGUUAUAUAUUGUUGAAUUUAAAUAGAAAGAGAAAGAGACAUGUAAUCUUUUGUAAUCUAUUAAUUAUUUUAUAUUUUUAAUAUUUUGUAAUGUAAUUAUUUUUUAAUCUCAACCAAUAUAUUAGAUAAUAGAGAAUAAAAAAAGAUGAGAAAUAAUGAUGCCACAAAUCUUAACUACUUAAUAUUUAUAGAGUUUGAAGAAAUUAAAAUGUACUAAACAAAAGGUUGCAUAAUUAAAUAUGAGAUUACAGCAUUAAAAUUAGACCCUAAUGGCAUUGUUCGGGGAAGAUGAAGGAACAUUCCUUCCUAUAUUAAUUAGUUNNNNNNNNNNNNNNNNNNNNNNNNNNNNNNNNNNNNNNNNNNNNNNNNNNNNNNNNNNNNNNNNNNNNNNNNNNNNNNNNNNNNNNNNNNNNNNNNNNNNNNNNNNNNNNNNNNNNNNNNNNNNNNNNNNNNNNNNNNNNNNNNNNNNNNNNNNNNNNNNNNNNNNNNNNNNNNNNNNNNNNNNNNNNNNNNNNNNNNNNNNNNNNNNNNNNNNNNNNNNNNNNNNNNNNNNNNNNNNNNNNNNNNNNNNNNNNNNNNNNNNNNNNNNNNNNNNNGAGAUAGUGGGGAGACUAAGAGAUAUAUGUUAUGAACAUCUACAUUUAUUUUAAUAAAUUCAUAACACUCCCCCUUUGAUGUUCAUUAUAAAAAAUAUGCCUCAUUAAAAUCUAUUAGCCAACAAUACAAAUAAAAAAGCCACACAAUAUAAAGAAUAAAAUGAGAGAAUAUAUUAUAGAGUGAUUUUAUUCAUUCCAAUUGUGUGUGUACAAAACAAAAAGAUGUGCUCUUCUUUUAAAGUUACAUAAUCACUCUAUGAAAUUAAUGAAAAAUUAUGGAUCAUAAUUUCUUGUGAGAUAGUGGGAGUUAUAGGGAAGCUAAAUGUUGCUAAUGGGAGAUAGUGGGGAGACUAAGAGAUAUAUGUUAUGAACAUCUACAUUUAUUUUAAUAAAUUCAUAACACUCCCUUGGAUGUUCAUUACAAAGAAUAUGCCUCAUUAAAAUCUUUACAUAAUUGUUAUUGUAUAAUAAAAAUCAAAUUAAUUAUGAGAAGAUGAAAAGCCAAAUCUAAAAAAAAAAUCUCUAUUUAUUAGAUAAUAGAGAAUAUAUAAAGAAGUAAAAUGGUGAUGCCACAUCACCUACUCAAGUCCUAGCUUUAUAUAUACACUAGAAAAUAGAACCGCGUUUCACGCGGCUUUGAAAAAAAAUUUUAAUGUUAUCUUUUUUUUUUAUUUUGUGUACGGCCAAGGCGGAUGUACGGUACAGCAGAUUCCCCGGACCGCCUCAUCUAUGUAUUCGGCGCCUCCCCGAGAUAGUGGGAGUUAUAGGGAAGCUAAAGGUUGCUAAUGGAAGAUAGUGGGGAGACUAAGAGAUAUAUGUUAUGAACAUCUACAUUUAUUUUAAUAAAUUCAUAACACUCCCCCUUUGAUGUUCAUUAUAAAAAAUAUGCCUCAUUAAAAUCUAUUAGCCAACAAUACAAAUAAAAAAGCCACACAAUAUAAAGAAUAAAAUGAGAGAAUAUAUUAUAGAGUGAUUUCAUUCAUUCCAAUUAUGUGUGUACAAAACAAAAAGAUGAGCUCUCCUUUUAUAGUUACAUAAUCACUCCAUGAAAUUAAUGAAAAAUUAUGGAUCAUAAUUCCUUGUGAGAUAGUAGAAGUUAUAGGAAAGCUAAAGGUUACUAAUGGGAGAUAGUGGAGAGAGUAAAAGAUAUAUGUUAUGAACAUCUACAUUUAUUUUAAUAAAUUCAUAACACUCCCCUUUGGAUGUUCAUUACAAAAAAUAUGUCUCAUUAAAACCUUUAUAUAAUUGUUAUUGUGUAAUAACAAUCAAAUUAAUUAUGAGAAGAUGAAAAGUCAAAUCUAAAAGAAAAUUUCUCUAUUUAUUAGAUAGAUAAUAGAGAAUAUACAAAGAUGAGAAAUAGUGAUGCCACAUCACUCUCUCAAGUCUCAACUUUAUAUAGAUAUAUAGAUUUGAAAUGAUUGACUCAAUUAAUCCACAAUAAUUCAUUCAACUCGUCUAAAUUAGAUUAUGUUGAAUUUGAUUUGCUACACCUACAUUGAGCAACAAACCUCAACGACAUUCUACGAGCUCUUUGAUUGUUUAUAAAAUUGAUUUAGAGUACAUAAAGUGUAUCGACAAUGAAAGUGCAAAACAAAUUAUUGUACAUAUUAAAAUGUGCAAAACAAUGAAUUAUAUGUACAAACGAGUGCAAACACAUUUUUCAAUAAGAAGUUAAAAGAUAUUUAUGCAUGAAAAAGCCUACGUUUGUAGUUAUUCUAAAUUUUAAAAACAAAAUUUACAUUUAGAUCCCUAAAAUUUACGUAUAAGUAUAAAAGUUUCAAAUAUUGUCUAUUAUUUUUUUAACAUGCCUAUUCCUUAUGGAUAAUUCUGUCUCAUCACUAAUGUUGUUUCUUGCUUAGAAAAAAUAAAUGUCAUCUCCUUUUACAAUUUUUAUAGCGUCUCGAAAUAGACAAUAGGGGAUUUUGAAUUUUUUAAGUCUCAAGAUAGUCUCUAAUCGUGUGAGAAAGAUUUUCUUUCAAUAAUUUGGAGCUAAACAUAACAUAUUUUUUAGACUAAAAUCUAACUCUGCUGGUUAGUAGUUGGUGGUAUCCUUUUCAAGACUUGAGUCUUUAGAUUCGAGUUUUAUAUAGUGUACAUGUGUAUUUAAUUAAUAAUUUUUUUCAAAAAAAAAAAUUACAUCAAAUACUAAUAUUCAUGACAUAAUUUAGUUCAUAAUUUUUUUAAAUACAUCGAAAAAUAUAAUUUUUUAACAACUUAUAGGCACGACAAAUUUCAAGAUAUAAAUAUCAGUCAAAAUAAAUGAAAGAAAUAAUGGUGUCAAUUCUAAUUUCUUAACUAAAUUAAUUAUUGCAUGAGCCCCGAAUACGACAUGAGAGUUUGAUGGGCUAACUUGGCACAAGAACGCGAAUAGUUAACUCAUUUAAGAAAUAAUUCAACAAAAAAUAUAAUUGAUAAGAAUUCAGUAUUGAAAUGAAUUUUUUACGAAACAUUGAAUUAAUGAUUAUUAAGCAAGAACAAUAAAAAAAUAAAAUAAAAAUAAAUAUUAACCAUUGAUAAGCUUCAACAAGAACUUAACACAACCCUCAAUCCUAAUUCAAAUCAUAAAUGUCAUUCAUAUAUUCAUUAUAAAUCAAUAACAAAGGUUAUAAAUGUUUAGAAAUUCUAGAGGGAAGGAAGCUAUCUCCGGGGAAUCAACAACUAAAUUUGAUGUAAUUGUGGCACACAAUUGCUAAGGCUUGUCAUUUUUUGUUUUUGAACAGAUAGAGUUACAAUUAAGUCAUACUGCAAUAUUUUAUCUUGAGAUUCUAUUAUUCACAAAAAGAAAAAAAUCAUAAAUUGAAAAAAAAAAAAAAGAGGUUACGAGCAUCAAGCAACUGCAAGUAAUGGGGUUUGUUUUGAUGAGCUGCGAAUUGGGGCCUGUCAUUUUCUUGAAGUAUCUUCAAUAUAAGUGGAAGGAGAUUUCUUCUCUCCAAAAAAUUAUUGUAUAUUUCCUUUUAAAUUCUAGAUUCGCAUGUAGCUGAUUUUUUAUGUUUGAAGGAUUUUAUUAAAGAAUGUGCUGCUGCUAGUGGCAUGAAUUAAUGUAGUCUCGCUAGUAUUCGUGAUUUGGGGUAAGGAUCGAAUUGAACAAUUAUAUUUCUAUUAUUCUUAUAUUCGAAUCCAGUGAUAUUGUGGUGGUUUUAUGAUAAUAUUCAAUUGUUUUGUGCCUCAAAUCAGCCAAUGAGUUGGGUAUGUGCUGGGUAUAUGCCGUAUGGGCUUGUUGUUGAAUUUGCUUGACCUUGGAUGUGAUUCUUGCCGUGUUUAUAAGAAAUAGACACAGGUCUUUGUGUGGUAAUAGAAUUGUCUAAGGUGCCUUACAAUAAAUUUAAGAGUCUUAAGUAACUAUGCUUUGUAACCUUAAACCUUUAUUUGUACGACUUGGUGUUCUUGGUUGUGAAAGAAUGUUAAAUGUUGACCUAUUUUCAUCGGUGAAGAUAAAUGAAGUUAGGGAAGGUUUGUAAUCACUAUAACCCUGACAAUUUUUUUGGUGGGCCGUGAUAAUUUUAUUCAUGGCAUGUACUUUGUUUUUAUCAGAAGGCCCUGUUUGCUUGUAGUCUCAAAUCUAGGGUAAUAUUUUAAAUAAGUUCUGCAAUAUAUGUUUUGCUAUUUUUCUUUUUUGUUUUUAUUUUAAUUAGUUUUAGUAUUACUUGGAGGGGAAUUCUGAUCUGCUGAAGUUUAUCAAGCUGGUGCAGUGGUGCAGCAAGCAGACCUUUAUCUUAAUCUUAUGAUUGUGCUAAGUGGAAUUUUGUGUAAGUUACAACAAUAUAAUUUUUUAAAGAGCUGACAAGACGCUCUCUCUUUUUUUUGGAAUGUUGAGCAAAACUUUUCUUUCUUAUUAGGUGUUUAUAAUAAUUCAUAGCAUGGGUUUUGUCAUAUUGGUUUCAAUGCAUUGAUUUGAUCUUGGUUACAACCCAUCAGCCCUUACUCCUCAUUCCCAGCAGCUUUUAAUGCCUUUUUUUUAAGCAUUGUACUUUGUUUCAUGAUGAAAUUUGUUUAUAUGACGCAAAGUUGAGGACACGGUAAUAGUCAUUAUUUUAAUUUAUGCAACAAAGAUCAUUAUCCAUUAAAUUUUAUGUUGUUGAAAUAUUUAGAUUUUGUAAAUUUUGUUCUGCUGUACCGUACAUCCGCCUUGGCCGUACAGCAGACUCUAAUAAUAAAAAUUCUACUUAAAUAAAUUAUAUUUGAAAAGGUAUACCAAACGAACCUAACAUAAAAACAAAAAUUUUUACAUCCACACAAUUAAGCUUAAAACAAUUUCAAAUGAAUUUUAGACUACUCAAAGUACAAUACGUACCAAGUUUGGUAACUUAUUGGGGUCCGCUUGUAAUACAGCUCAUGAGCUCUUUUUAAAAAAAUUUUGAAUCUCUACUUUCAGAAGCUCAAAUUUUUAGUUUUUAGUUAUAGAGACAAAAUAUCGUAUUUAAUGUUUAAAAGUUCUGCUAAAAACAAUCAAAUAAUUACAAAAAUUUUAACAUAAACUAUUUUGUCUCUAUUAGGAAAAACUCAAAUUUUAGGUUUUUGUGAGUAAAUGUUUAAAUUUUUUUAAAAAUAUUAAAAUAUUAAAGUAAAAGUUGUAGAGACAAAAUAUCUUAUUUAAUGUUUAAAAGUUCUGCUAAAAAUAAUCAAAUAACUACAAAAAUUUUAAUAAGAGCAUAUAAAAUUAAAUAAGCAUUUAUUAAUAGUCACUUUAGUAUACUUAUCUAAUGACCAUAAGUGUUUAUUUAAUCUAAUGAGCUCUUUUUAAUUUUGUUUGUUUGUUUUUUUAGUAGAGUUUUUGAAAAUUAAAUAAACUAUUUUGUCUCUAUUAGGAAAAACUUAAAAUUUAGGUUUUUGUGAGUAAAUGUUUAAAUUUUUUUACAAAUAUUAAAAUAUUUUUUUCUUUAUUUCAUAAUCUUAUUUCAUUCUUCACAACAUAACUUUAAAUAACUCACCUAUUAAAAUAAUUUCACAAUUUAUAAUAAAAAUUCUAAUUGACAAUCAAAUAACAAUUUUUUUUUAAUAAAAAUUCUACUUAAAUAAAUUAUAUUUGAAAAAGUAUACUAAACAAACUUUUUUUAGACUAAUCAAAGUACAUCUUCUCAUAAAAUAAUUUCACAAUUUCUAAAAAAAACUCUAAUUGACAAUUAAGUAACAACUUUUUUUUUUUUGUAAAAACUUUAUUUAUAAAAAAUCUAAUAAUAAAAAUUCUAUUUAAAUAAAUUAUAUUUGAAAAUGUAUACUAAACCAACCUAACAUAAAAACAAAAAUUUUUACAUCCAGACAAUUAAGCUUAAAACAAUUUCAAAUGAAUUUUAGACUAAUCAAAGUACAAUACGUACCAAGUUUGGUAACUUAUUGACAUCUUCUCAUAUAACCUUCGAUCAAGUCGAUUCUCACCUGACGACUAAUUGGUACAUCACCGUUGUUCUCUAUACUCGCAUGCAUCCGAUCACAAAUCUCACUCCAAUUGUCGUCUUUCUUCGGCGUUUUAGCGCAUCCUUCUUGAAUUUCCCGCAUUUCGUUCCCUCCUGUUACAAGUCUCCGGUCAGGUCAGUUCUCUUGACGAUUAAUUCGGCAAAUCUCGAAUCUCUUCUCUAUCCCUCUCGUUUUCUCGUGUCUCCUUUCAGUUUAAGUGAUUGAAUCAAUUUUAUCGCAGUCUUAAGAGAAAUUAAGUAAUGCUCUUGGAUUUAAAAUUUUUUUGCUUUCGACUUUAGAUCUCGAAAGUCAAACUCUGCUACGAAUCCAUAGAUUCUCAAUGUUUAUAAUCUUAUUUGUGUUUGACCAGGUAACUGGAUCGUGAAAUUCGUCGUUUUGUAUCAAUUCAAGCUUUCGCGAGCUCAUGGAAUCACCUGGUGAGUUGUGGUGAAACGUUAUCGUUUCAAUUUUCGCUUAAUUCUUUAUUGCAUAUUUUUUUCUCUCUAAUAUUUCAGUUUAAUUUAGAAAAGAAAGAGGACCCAAAAAGAGAGAGAGAGAGAGAGACUCUACCAUACUCAAUUCCUUGCUCAUUCUGAUUUGGCCUGAAUGUUGGCAUUGACUAUUAUUUGUUUUCAUUUCGAUUUAAUUCUCAUUUAGACAGUCUUUUUUAACUAGCAAUAAUCUUUUUAAGGAAAAUGAUAAUAGGGAUUCUGCAAUAAUCUUUCUGCAUUGUUCAAGUUAGUAGACAAUGAAUAGGNNNNNNNNNNNNNNNNNNNNNNNNNNNNNNNNNNNNNNNNNNNNNNNNNNNNNNNNNNNNNNNNNNNNNNNNNNNNNNNNNNNNNNNNNNNNNNNNNNNNNNNNNNNNNNNNNNNNNNNNNNNNNNNNNNNNNNNNNNNNNNNNNNNNNNNNNNNNNNNNNNNNNNNNNNNNNNNNNNNNNNNNNNNNNNNNNNNNNNNNNNNNNNNNNNNNNNNNNNNNNNNNNNNNNNNNNNNNNNNNNNNNNNNNNNNNNNNNNNNNNNNNNNNNNNNNNNNNNNNNNNNNNNNNNNNNNNNNNNNNNNNNNNNNNNNNNNNNNNNNNNNNNNNNNNNNNNNNNNNNNNNNNNNNNNNNNNNNNNNNNNNNNNNNNNNNNNNNNNNNNNNNNNNNNNNNNNNNNNNNNNNNNNNNNNNNNNNNNNNNNNNNNNNNNNNNNNNNNNNNNNNNNNNNNNNNNNNNNNNNNNNNNNNNNNNNNNNNNNNNNNNNNNNNNNNNACUUCAUGGAAGCAAUGAAGCUUGAAAUUGAAUGUCCGCAGCUGAAUCUUUCUGCAGCUGAAAGGGAUAGAGCUUUAUUGUCAAUCGGAACUGAUCGCAACAUCUGUUGGAGCUUCACAAUCCCCUUUGUUGUGUUCUCAAUGUGAAAGAAAAGUUUGCAAAGUUUGUUGUGCAGGAAGAGGAGCUCUACUGUUUUCAAAUUAUAAAUCAAGGGAUGUGACCAACUACAAUGGCUUCUCAAGUCAGAGUGGAUCAAGCCAUGGAAGCCAAGUUGAUGUACCUACCAGUCGUUCACUAACACUGGAUGGCGUUGUCUGUAAACACUGCUGCCAUGAGAUUGUGCUUGAUGCAUUGAUGUUGGACCAUGUUAGGGUCUUGAUUAGCUUGCGAAGAAGUUCCCGUGCAGACAACACAGCAUACAAUGCUUUGAAUGAGGUUGUUGGAUCCUGCUUAAAGGAUAGUCUUUCUGAAAGGAUUCAGUCUUCCGAUAACGUGCAAGCUGCUGAAGUCCUUCACCAAUUAUGUGGUGGACAGGAAUCUCUUGCUGAAUUUCCAUUUGCUAGCGUUUUGCACUCGGUAUGUUCUUGGUUUGUAUUCAGUUCUCAUCAUGUUAUGUUUUCCUUUUAAAUUUCUUUUCUUGAUUAAAAUUUUUAGAAAUAUGUUUUAGUAUUUGUUCUUAUGAUAUAUGCCCAGAACAUUCAUCCCACUUAUCCAUGAGAAUCCUUGUCUGGUUUGAUUUUCAAUUGAGACAUUUUUGGGAACCCUGAGCAGGUUCCAUAUGCUAAUAAUCUUUGAGGUAAGGUGUUGUAGGAUGCCUUGAGAAGCUAAAAACCAAUUACAAGGAAAAGCUCUUGCAUUGUUUUGUGCAAUCUGUGUGCUAGCAAGUCAUGUCUCUAAUAAUUUCAUAGUUCGCUUGAUUGGAAUUUUUUAUCUUGAUAUGGAUUGUUUAUUCUAGAUUCCUUGGUGCCACUGUAGGUUGAAACAGCAAAAGAUUCAGCACCGAUUUUGUCACUGCUUGCUCCAUUAAAUUCUGGAUCAAGGCACUCAUAUUGGAGAGCUCCACCUAGUACUACUUCUGUUGAAUUUGUUAUUGUUCUCGGUUCUGUUUCUGAUGUCAGUGGGGUUAUCUUGCUUGUUAGUCCUUGCGGCUAUCUGUGGCUGACACUCCGAUGGUAAGUGCCAUAUUUAUUCCCUUAUUUCCUUGUUGUUCAAUAAAUUUGGUGAUAAGCCAAGUGGCCUUAAUAAUGAAGCCCAGUACCAGGGGUGGUGGGUAAUCGAUAUUCAACUUGUGAAUAUUCCUAAGCAAGCACGGAAUCAACAUAGACGUCGGCAAAAAUUCUCCAUGCUAUUAUAACGAAAGUCAUAUUUUGAAAUGAUUAAAAGAGUCCCUGUGUAGUGCCAUUUCCAAAGAAAUUGCAGCUGGGGGUUUAGUUUCAUGUAGGUUAGUUUCCGAUAAUAAACUUUCCAUUUCAUUAAUUGCUGAUGAAAAAACCAAGUAAGAACAGUUUCGUUGCUCGUCAUUUAUGUAUAUUUUGGUAAACUGUAAUUUUAAAUUCUCAACGAUCUUCCCUUGGUAGGUAAGAAGAUGGUCCACUCACUUUAUAUUUAUGAUUGUAGAUCAGGUUUCUAUUGGUUUGCCUUUAUCAUUGGGAACCCAAGUUUGAUAUUAACAGAGAUCACGUCAAUAAUAUCCUAUUUGGGUAGAUGUGGGUGAGGAUUUAAAAUCAAAUUUGAAAUUGAGGGCAAAGAAGAGAAAAGAAACCGCAAUAAUUAAACAAAAUAUUAGGAACUAUUCUGAUGAGUUUUAAUCUCGAGAGGAACAAUUUUCAAAUGCAAAAUUUAACUGCUAGAGAAAUUGUCGCAUUGUUUGGAUCACAUUACGUCUUCAGAGACCUGGUUCGGCUUCAGUUAAUUUCGGGAAGGACCUCAGUCUUUUGUCUCUUGAUGAAGAUGAAAACCCCUUUGCACAAGUAGACAGACGUGCUUCAUUUGGAGGAGCAGUUGAAAAUGAACCAUGUAUUCAUGCCAAAAGAAUUCUUGUAGUCGGAAGCCCAGUAAAAAGGGAGGGGCUUACCUCAUCACAGAGCUCUGAGCAGCUAAGUAUUAGAAACUGGUUGGAUAGAGCUCCACAAAUGAGUAGAUUCAAGGUAUUAGUUGCUUUCACUCUUUGUUCAUUCAUAAUUCCAGCUUUCUGCUUGAUGCCCUGCCUCUGAUAAACCUCUUUUUUUCUCUUCAGGUCCCAAUUGAGGCCAAGAGAUUGAUGGACUACGAUCUCGUCUUGGAACAAUAUCUACCUCCAGCGUCACCUUUGCUUGCCGGAUUCCAUCUAGACGCUUUCAGUGCAAUAAAACCUAGGGUUACCCAUUCACCUUCCUCAGAUUCAGAUAUCUGGGACAAAUCAGUAACAUUUUUAGAAGACAGGUACAUCUCUCAAGCUGUGUUGUAUUUACAAGUAUCCGCACUCCAGGAACCACAUAACAUGGUAACUAUUGCGGAAUAUCGACUGCCGGAGGCUAGAGCCGGAACGCCAAUGUACUUUGAUUUCCCACGACCGAUACAGUCCCGACGAGUUUCAUUCAAGCUUCUUGGAGAUGUUUCUAGACGCUUUCAGUGCAAUAAAACCUAGGGUUACCCAUUCACCUUCCUCAGAUUCAGAUAUCUGGGACAAAUCAGUAACAUUUUUAGAAGACAGGUACAUCUCUCAAGCUGUGUUGUAUUUACAAGUAUCCGCACUCCAGGAACCACAUAACAUGGUAACUAUUGCGGAAUAUCGACUGCCGGAGGCUAGAGCCGGAACGCCAAUGUACUUUGAUUUCCCACGACCGAUACAGUCCCGACGAGUUUCAUUCAAGCUUCUUGGAGAUGUUACAGCAUUUGCAGAUGAACCUUCAGAACAAGAUGAUUCAGGAUUGAGAGCUCCACUUGUGGCCACAGGUUUGUCUUUGUCAAACAGAAUCAAGUUAUAUUAUUAUUGUGAUCCUUAUGAGCUCGGAAAAUGGGCAAGCCUUUCUGGAGUUUGAUCGUUAUUUAUAUGUCAGAGAAAGGGUUUUGGGUUUGAUUUUGAUUUUGAUUUGUAAUUUUUGUCAGUUUAUUGAAAUUUUUUGUUGUAUAAAAGCAGAAUGUAAAGGUAUAAAAAUUCAUUGAUGCUGCAAUGUCUGUGCUUUUGAGAAAGAAGAAUUAAUUGUCUUUUCUAUGCCAUUGGAGUUUCCCACUGCUUGUAUACUUGGGCUGUCGAAUGCUCUGUGAACCUUAAGGGCUAUAAAGUAAUUUUCAAGACUGAAGGAUUUAUUAAUCGAGUUCAAAAGAUUGUAAGUUGGUGACUGGUGAGCGUUGGCAUUUAAAAAUCAAUUGUUAUUCUCUCAAUAAUCUCUCUCUUCUCCUCGUGAAGUGUUUUCUUUUUCGAGUGAAGGUGGUUUUCUACUUGCAUACGUCGGGGGUCUUAUGAUAUGUAAUGUGUGAAAUUUCUUUCUCAUUUUACCAUAAAGAAAAAUGUUGUAAUAAUCUAAAGCUCGAGUCUUAAAUUAUCUUAAAUUUAUAUUUAGAGUGGAGCUAUUCGCAACCCUAUAUUAAAAUUACAAUUAAAAACAAUUGAAAAUUAAACACUUAUAGAUUCUUUUUACAGCAAAUUACUUAAUUCAUAAUCAAUCCUUUAAAAAAAAAAUACAUAUGUUAUUUCUUAUCUAACUAAAAUAAAUUGUACAAAUUUAGAAUAAUCUAUUGUUCUCUUUUGAUUUCUUAUUAUUUAAAUAUUUUUAUACAUAAAGUUACUUUGAAAUUAUAAUUUGAAAUAUGUGUUAUUUCAGCCAAUGAUUAACACUAAAAAAUUUAUCACCCAUAUAACUUUUUAAUUUGUGUGUAGGGUAAUAAUAAAAUCGAAAAUAAUUAAAAAAAUAGUACAAUAAUGAUUUUUAACAAUAAAACAAAUCAAAUGAAAAUUGAAAAUUUAGAAAAGUGUAUCUAAAAAAAGGAACGUUUUCAAAAAUAAAAUGAAUAUAACUAAAAAGAGAUUUUAUGAGGAGAUCACUGGGGUGCCAAUAGUCCAACUUGUAAUUAAGAAUCUCCCAUUAUAUUGUCAACCAAAAAGACACUUGAAUAAGAAGAAGAAUUUAUCAGUUUGAUUUUAUUUGUAGAUCCAACAUUUCUCAUAUCCUGAACGCCUUUUCGUAUCAAAUUAAAACAGUAGUAGCAAAAUCGUAGUAUUAAAAUCGUAGUGCACAUUCAAUUAACCAACUAAUAGUCUUUGGUAUAAGAUUUUAUAUUAGGUAGCCAAGUAGGUUGUCCAUCCCACUCAGACAUGCACGAAAGCUAAAUUCAUCAAAUGAAUUACUUAAGAAGUAUUUGAUAAUUUUGAAAUUAUCAAAAGGUGUUAUACUAUUAAAUAUUUUUAUACUUAAAAUUGUUUUGAAAUUAUAAGUUCAAAUUAAAAUAAUAGUAGCAAAAUCGUAGUGCACAUUCAAUUAACCAACUAAUAGUCUAAGAAGCAAAGAGAGGAUUACAAGUUCACAACACCAUUACAAAGGAUUCAAAAUUCCCACACGAAUACAUCAAUGUACAGAUUAUAAACAAUCCGAAUUGGACACAAGAAAAACCCUUCAAUAGAUUGCUUGCCUUCCCAAUGCUAUAUACUGUGCAAACUGCGCAUUGGCCAAGAAAAUGUUUUCAAUUUAGUGUAUUUUCAAAAUGCUUAUUUUCUCAUAGUAUAAAAAAUAAAAAAAAUAAGAAAGAAUUCUCACAUGUUUCAUCAGCAUGAUUAAAAUCAAAGAAGAAAGCGAGACAUAAUGUCUCUGACAUAAUAAAAUUACAAAAAUUUCAAGGAAAAAAAAAGGUUACAUGUUUCAUCAGCAUGAUUAAAAUCAAAAGCGAGACAUAAUGUCUCUGACAUAAUAAAAUUACAAAAAUUUCAAGGAAAAAAAAAGGUUAAAACAUGUAAUCUUCAGAAGCAUAUAAUAAAAGAACACUUCCACAAAUUACUACAAUUUCAUGCAGUAGAGAUUGAAGAGUUGAAUUCCACUAAUUUUAAUAAUGAAAACAACAACAGAGGAUUAACUGAUGCUUUGACUUAUUAGUUCUGCAGAGCAUCUCCAAAAGCCUAUAUAAAUUUUACUCUUCAAAUACUUAUUUGCUUACCUAUGUGGCAAAUAAAAGGGUGAAAAAAUAUGAUAUUCUCCAAAAGACUCUUCAAAUAGAAAAAAGUUAAUAUUAUUUUAAUCAUAUAAUUAAUUUUUUAAAGAAAAAGUCAAUAGCAAUUAAAGCACUUCUCUCUCUUUCUUCAAUGAAAAGUAAUAAAAUAUAAAUUGAAGAGGGAGAAAUUAACUCUCCAAAUUUGAAGAGAGAGAAUUAAUUCUUAUUUAAAGAAUCUUAAUUGAAGUGUCUUUUGGAGCUUUAAAUAUUGAUGUGGCUCUUCAAAUAAGUAAUAAAAUCUUAUUUGAAGAGCCUUUAAAUAAGGUGCACAGAGGAUUAACUGAUGCUUUGACUUAUUAGCAGGUUGCUUUGACUUAUUAGUUCUGCAGCUAAGUUAAAUAAAAUAAGCUAUUUUCAAAAGCAAAAUGGAAUACAUAGAUAAAAACAUCAUCUUAAACAAAUCACAAUCUAGAAUUAGAGCAUUUUCGACAUACCUAAGGAAAACGAAUACGUGAAAACGGGUGAUUCAUUUGUUAAGGAGUAUCAUCUUAAACAAAUCACAAUCUAGAAUUAGAGCAUUUUCGACAUACCUAAGGAACACGAAUACGUGAAAACGGGUGAUUUAUUUGUUAAGGAGUGUUGAUUUGGUCGUCUCUGCAAAUUCUUUAGGGACUCGGUUCCAAUUCCUCUUCAUCAAAACUGUAAUAUAAUUCCCCUUCAUCAGAACUCGAAUCGAUGCAAUAUAAUUCCCCUUCAUCAGAACUCGAAUCAAAUUCACUUGCAGCAGUUCCACUCGCGCUUGGCAAAUCAUCCAAUUUCCAAACUUCGGUAACAAAAUUGAGAGUAAAAGUGUUGGCUUUGAUCUCGCUGGGAUUUGCAUAUACUGGACAUACUCCGCAACGUUUUAUCUUCUGACCCUUUUGGACCUUUAUUAUGUUUCGGUGACACUCAUUGAAGAACUUAAAUGUGGCAGUUGAAUGAUGGUCACCAUCAGGAAAGCCAACAUUCAAGCAAGGUUUAAAACCAAGUAUGACAUGAUCUGAAUCAUGGGGGUCUUGAAUUGAGUGCAAAUUGUAACCCAGAUGAACAUGUUUGGUUUCAGAGAGAGUCUUUAUUUCUAAGUCGGAUCGACAGUAAACGUAAAAAUAACGA